Molecule: ribosomal RNA, 681 nt
Filed under: Rhagoletis berberis
Lineage: Eukaryota; Metazoa; Arthropoda; Insecta; Diptera; Tephritidae
Description: partial 28S ribosomal RNA
Rfam family: Eukaryotic large subunit ribosomal RNA
Source: RNAcentral
CCCUCCGAAGUUUCCCUCAGGAUAGCUGGUGCAUUUUAAAAUUAUGCAAAAUAAUCUUAUCUGGUAAAGCGAAUGAUUAGAGGCCUUAGGGUCGAAACGACCUUAACCUAUUCUCAAACUUUAAAUGGGUAAGAACCUAACCUUUCUUGAUAUGAAGGUUCAGGUUAUGAUAUAAUGUGCCCAGUGGGCCACUUUUGGUAAGCAGAACUGGCGCUGUGGGAUGAACCAAACGUAAUGUUACGGUGCCUAAAUUUACAACUCAUGCAGAUACCAUGAAAGGCGUUGGUUGCUUAAAACAGCAGGACGGUGGACAUGGAAGUCGUAAUCCGCUAAGGAGUGUGUAACAACUCACCUGCCGAAGCAACUAGCCCUUAAAAUGGAUGGCGCUUAAGUUGUAUACCUAUACAUUACCGCUAAAGUACAUGAUUUAUAAUACAAUUUCGGUUGUUUUUAUAAAUUUUGAAACUUUAGUGAGUAGGAGGGUACAAUGGUGUGCUUAGAAGUGUUUGGCGUAAGCCUGCAUGGAGCCGCCAUUGGUACAGAUCUUGGUGGUAGUAGCAAAUAAUCGAAUGAGACCUUGGAGGACUGAAGUGGAGAAGGGUUUCGUGUGAACAGUGGUUGAUCACGAGUUAGUCGGUCCUAAGUUCAAGGCGAAAGCCGAAAAUUUUCAAGUUUUAAUAA